Molecule: ribosomal RNA, 253 nt
Filed under: uncultured bacterium
Lineage: Bacteria
Description: partial 16S ribosomal RNA
Rfam family: Bacterial small subunit ribosomal RNA
Source: RNAcentral
UGCGUAGGGACCAAGCGUUGUUCGGAUUUACUGGGCGUAAAGGGCGCGUAGGCGGCGUGUUAAGUCAGCUGUGAAAUCUCCGAGCUUAACUCGGAGCGGUCAGCUGAUACUGAUGUGCUAGAGUGCAGAAGGGGCAAUCGGAAUUCUUGGUGUAGCGGUGAAAUGCGUAGAUAUCAGGAGGAACACCGGUGGCGAAGGCGGGUUUCUGGGCCGAUACUGACGCUGAGGAGCGAAAGCGUGGGGAGCGAACAGG